AUUGAACGCUGGCGGCAGGCCUAACACAUGCAAGUCGAACGGCAGCGGGGGAUAGCUUGCUAUCCUGCCGGCGAGUGGCGGACGGGUGAGUAAUGCAUGGGGAGCUGCCCAGUCGAGGGGGAUAGCAACUGGAAACGGUUGCUAAUACCGCAUACGCCCUAAGGGGGAAAGGUGGGGAACUUCGGUCCUACCGCGAUUGGAUGCGCCCAUGUGGGAUUAGCUAGUUGGUGAGGUAACGGCUCACCAAGGCGACGAUCUCUAGCUGGUCUGAGAGGAUGACCAGCCACACUGGAACUGAGACACGGUCCAGACUCCUACGGGAGGCAGCAGUGGGGAAUAUUGCACAAUGGGGGAAACCCUGAUGCAGCCAUGCCGCGUGUGUGAAGAAGGCCUUCGGGUUGUAAAGCACUUUCAGUCAGGAGGAAGGUGAUAAGGCUAAUAUCCUUAUCAAUUGACGUUACUGACAGAAUAAGCACCGGCUAACUCUGUGCCAGCCGCCGCGGUAA
This 506-nucleotide ribosomal RNA is filed under the name uncultured bacterium. RNAcentral's name for it is "partial 16S ribosomal RNA". It matches the Rfam family "Bacterial small subunit ribosomal RNA", at positions 30 to 523 of the family's 1533-position model. The record is from RNAcentral.